RNAcentral lists this long non-coding RNA (1482 nucleotides) under Nicotiana benthamiana. Its description in RNAcentral is "long non-coding RNA (NBEN_LNC030645)". Lineage: Eukaryota; Viridiplantae; Streptophyta; Magnoliopsida; Solanales; Solanaceae. The record is from RNAcentral.
ACCAAUAUAGAACUAAAUCUCAAAUCUCAACUGUAAUAUGCAUUAAACAAUUACCAACUACCAGUACAUAGAAACCGAAUUCUCUGUUAUUAGCAAAAUAAGUUUAACGCCAUUUCUAGAGUUGUUAUGCGUUGGCAUUCCUUUCACAAAGAAUCUCUACUCCUAAUUACAAGAUUCACCUCGAAAUGACUUUACUAACAAAUUGAUUUCUAACAUUUUUAACCUUCAUGAAUCAGAACCAAUCAACAGAACCUUCAUAUUCCAAAUAAGAAUGAACUUGGGAGAUACAGCUAUAACACUAAGACAACAAACGAACAUGAACCUUUAUCUGUCAACAUUGAAAGCAUUAGCAAACUGAUUUUGAGUCCUAAAGAAAUUAUGAAACAGCCGUUAAUUUCUAACAAAUGGGACCCAAGAAUAUUUGAUUGGAAUCAGCAUGGAUCAUUUGCAUUCAACAGAGAAACAUAUUUUAGUUACCAACAACUAGUGAGCUAGACACACACACUCCAUUGAGAGCAUCGCACAGAUUUAAACUGGAGAAAGAUUAACUCAAACACUACUGCCGAAAUAGCAGAACUAAUUUUCUCUUUCGGACAGUGAUAACCAGCAACAAAAUAACAGCGAUAAAUCACAAAUCGCGAAGCGUUUGGAGUUAGAGUGGAGAGGGUGGAGAUUUGUCUCUUCGGCACAAUAGUCAUAAACGCAGGCCUCAACAGUUCAUACUUAGCUAGGCGAUUGUGAUUUCAACUGAAAUUUUAGCUAUUCACUCCAGAAUCAGACGGAUUUAGUCGACAAUCCAAAUUAACAUAUAAUUCAACCGUCCAAAUUAUCACAUAAACAAAAUUGAUGACAACGGCAAUUAACCAACAAUCCAACUAGAAGAAUAGAAGGAAUCAAACAUAUUCGCAGAUUCGAUAAUCCGACUAUUCAUUCAUAUUCAAAGGAAAAUUUCGAGACAAUGUGUACAUACCUAGGCAGCCGAAAUUAACUGAAGGAAAGCAACAACAAACUUCUGAUAAUAUGAGAGGAGAUCUGGCAACAUAACAGCAACAGACCAGCGAUCAACACGAGUUCAACUCGACGAUAGCAGACAACGGUUCAAUCCGCCAGAUUUCUCAGCUAGCGCCAUGAAUCGGAAGCUCUAAGCCCAAAUUUCACUUGACAUUCCAGAAAAUCUAAGUAAAAACAAAGUAGAAGUGCGGAUAACUUUCAAAUCCCCCUUUGUUUCUAUUUUGGUUUGUAUUUGAAACUCUCCUUUGAAUUUUUCAAAGCUGGGCUUGAAUUUUGGACAUGAAUCGAUGGCACUUGUCUAGAGGAAAAAUGAAGAACUGAAGAAUCCGUUGCUGUGUGUGUUCUCAGAGAAGGGAAGCUUGGGUGUGGAAAAUCUCCUCCUUCUUGUUGUUCUGUUCUCUAUAUUUUGUAUGUGAAAGGAGCGAAGAAGAAGGAUUGAAAAUUAGGGAAUGAGACACGCAUUUUUCGUGG